UCAAUUUGAUCCGUUCCAAUGGAGUUCUAAAUCAAGUAGGCUUAGGAAAGAAGCAACAAAUUUUCUAUAUUGUCGUUUCAAUUCUUGUUGUCGUUGCCCCACCAUUCUUCCCAAAAAAAAAAAAAAAAAGGUAAAAUUGUGAAGCUCAAAGAUUCAACAAUGGCGAAUCGUCACGACGAUUAUUAUCAAAGCAGAAGAAUAAGAAAAAGCCAGGAGGACGACACAAUGCAGGGAUCGAACGGCGUCAUAUUGAUGACUUCGGGGUUUACAUUCCUCUACUCAAACUCGCUCGGUUGAUGGAUAAAAGCUCCGUUGAGUAUUAUAGAUUGACGUGGGAUGCUCUUCGCAAAUCCAUAAACGGCCUCGUCAACAAAUCAACGCUUCCAAUAUCAAAUACAUAAUCCCCGAACUGUUUUCCGAGAAUCUGAUCCGUGGAAGAGGGCUUUUCUGCCGCGCGUGUAUGAAAUCUCAGAUGGCAUCGCCUGGAUUCACAUAGGUUCUUGCCGCAUUGGUUUCUGUGGUCAACACUAAGUCUCCUCAAGUGGGUCAUCUUCUAUUGAGAAGGAUUGCGUUGCGACUCAAAAGGGCAUGUAAGAGGAAUGACAAUCCCCAAUUACUUGCCGCUGUUAAGUUCAUAGCACACCUUGUGAACCAGCAAGUGGCUCAUGAGAUUCGUGCAUUGGAAUUGCUUGCUGUUUUGCUGGACAAUCCUACUGCUGAUAGUGUUGAAGUUGCUGUUGGGUUUGUCACCGAGUGUGGGUCAAUGCUUCAGGACCGUUCACCUAAAGGCUUAUCUCUGAAGGUUCAUGUCCAUUUUACAAUUGCUUUUAGUUAAAUAUGUCGGUCAUCAUAGUUUGUUAUCACUACAGAGAAUUCUUCAUGAAGAAGAAAUUGAUAAAAGGGUUCAAUUUUUUUUAUUGAAGUAUCUGCAAUAAGGAAAGCAAAGUUUCAGGGCAACCCAGCUGUUCGUCCAGGAUCAGUCCUUGUAGAGCUGGAAGAUCAGCUGAGACACGAGAUUUCUCUAGAAGAGGAGAUAGAUCUGGAAAUUACUCUUGCACAUUUUCAAACCAGACCUUAAUUUCCUUGAGAAUGAGAAACAUUAUGGAGGAUUGAAGAAAAACAUACUUGGUUAUGAGUCUAUAGGUUCUGAUGCAGCUUCAGAAGGUGAUGACGAUGACAAUGACAGCAAUGAGGAAGAGGAAGAUGUAGAAAUAGAUGCAGAGGAGCUGAUGGAAAUAGAAGACAAGACAGACAGAUCUUCUAAAUCUUCAAAGGACAAUUUACCUAACAGUGCAAAUCUCGAAGCUUGGUAGUGGCUUUGAAGUUUGUUUUGAAUUUCUGAGCUCUGAAGCUCGCAAGAAGCUCUGAAGUUCAUAUCUGAAGCUCUUUUUGCUUGAUUUGUUUUCAAAUUUCUUUCUAUUCGUUUUCUUCAAAUCUGCAUAUUGAAGGAGAAGAAUUGCUUUUAAUUUCGCUCGCUCAAAGCCCUCUCGUUUCUUUCUUGUUUGAAGCACUUGUCUAUUUCUUUGUCUUCUUCAAUUUCAAGAAUCAAGGUAUUUUCUUCUUCUUAUUUGAUGGUUGAGAUUUGGUUAUUUUUUAUUUAAAUUUAAUGAUGGUUGAAUUAGAUUUGAUUAUUGUUCAUAUUUGUGCUUAAUUUUACUUAUUCGUGCAUAAUUUUGCUAUAUAUGUUCCCACAUGCUCAUCAUGUGUAAUAUGUUGCUUGUUACAUCAGAAAAACACAGUAAUGCUGUAGUAUAUCUUUGUGAACCUUUAGGUUUUUCAGCACCAUAUAUAGAAUUAGAAGCUCUUUUUUUUUUUUUUUUUUUUUUUUUUUUUUUUUUUGUGGGUUUACUUGGUAAUUAUGUAUUUCUCUGUUUAUAAGUCAAUUUUAUGGGCACUUUGGUUUCCUUUCAAUUCAUGCACAUUCUAUGGGUCAAAUUGAGCUUCUGUUGAAUUGCAUUUAAUGUAUCUCUUGAUUAUGCUGGCAGCCUAGCCACAUGAUUGAGUGUUUAGUAAUUUGGAUAUGAUGGAUAAUCAUCUCUUUAGUAUUGUGUCUGGCCUUCGAGGGUUUCUUUCUCUAUAGGAUGCUUUGACUGAGCUCUAUGAGGGUUAAAUUCUCUUCAAAUCCACAACUUUGGUUUAGUUUCUGGCUAGAAUUUUCAUUAUGGAUGCCUUUAUAACUUAUAAAUAUCUUAGAAUUUUUCUCUCUGUUAUCUUUUCAGAAGAAAAAAAGAGAACUGAUAACACCAUAACUUUCAUAAAAAAUUAUUACCUUGAAAUAUAUGCACAAUUACACACACACACACACACACACACACACACACACACACACACACACACACACAUAUAGGUAAUAGCCUCUAAUGUUAAGCACCUAAAAUACCCUUGCUGCUCAAGAGCCUUUCAUCUCCAUUUACAGAAUUCCAUAUUGGUAAUAAAAACUUUAUCCAAAAAAUAAAAUAGGAACAAGAAUAUUUACCUGUCCACUCAUUGCUUUUUGUGUAGUCUAUACCAAGGAUUAAAUUUGAUGAUUCAGGGUCAGCUUCUCUUAGUGCAGAAAUAACCUGUCAGUAUAUGAAUUGAUCUAGUCAUUAAAUGUUUGUAUUGCAGCAUCUUGAUAUGGCUAAACAUAACUUUUGGUAAAUAUGAUUAAAGAUAACUGGUAGUUGCUGCAAAAGGAAUUAGGUCUUGGACUCUCAUAUGGGUACAAAUUGGUUUUGGUAACAUAGAAUAGUUGGGAUGUGAAGCUGUGAGAUUAAUAAAUAUUGCCUUGGUAAAUUCUGGCUGCUUUCUUUACAAUCAGAUUGUAGUGUUUACAAUCUGAUUGGAAUGUGUAGCUUUUUAUUUGUAGGCAUUGUCAGACAAAGAUUCCCUUUUACAUAAUGACAUCAGAUGACACACAUUCCCUGUAGUUUGCCACUUUCAGGACCAAAUUCUUAUUUUGAAAUGGAACCGACACAAGCAAAGCUUCUAACGCAGGUAUGACUGGCUAUUGAUGCCUUACUGGAAAAAGCUUUAUACAUAUGUAAUCUGAGCAUGUCAAAUUCGCCAUUGCUUACAGGAAAAAGUUACAUGCUUGGAUGAUAAUGAUGCCCAGCUUGCUCUGGAACCACAUAAUAAGUACACAAUACAAGAAGCCUUCAUGCAUGGUUUUAUUUUAUAUAUAGAUAAUGCAUAUAAGCUUAAUGUCAUGUUUUUGUCAAUUAAUGAUUUGAAGCAUUUAUAUUUUUUUUACUUCAACAGUCAAUUUACAUAUGAUCCUUUACCACUUUGCCCUGUAAUAGACCAAACCUCAUGGCCAUGGCAAUGUGCAUUGACUACUGUAGUCCGGUGGCCUUCUAAAUUCUUAGUAUGUCAUAACUGUUUACCUAAUCUCUUUAGUUUGUCCAUCUGUCUCUAGCAUCACCUUUAUGUUUUAUUUUAUAUUAUAAUAGCAAACUUUAAUCUAGGCAUGCAGUGGUUUAACCAUGAGAUCCAUUUAAUUGAUGCUGUGUAGGUACUUGUAUGCUUGAAAUUAGCAUGCAUGUAUGGCUUGCUAGAAAGGCAAAAAUAUCUAUGUAUGUGUAUAUGUGUGGUUCCAGCAUGUCUAACACACUUAACUGAUAACUGCCUUUAAAAUGGAAUAAAUAUUAUAGUGAUCGAAAUAUUGAAAAUAUUUUACUGUCUUUACUAUGGCACUUCCAUCUAAUACUAUGGCACUUCCAUCUAAUGAGAGUUUGAUCGGAUUGCAAUAUAUUUUAUUAACCUGAAUAGUCAGUUUUCUUUUUGUAUUGUUGCUUUUGGAAGUUUAUAGUUAUAUUGUCAUCAUGUUGCCAAUUUCACGUAAUCUGCAGAAGGUCAUGAUUUUAACAGUCUUUUCUUUUUCACAGGCGCGAUGCUGGUUUGAGAUGGCUUCUAUUUUUCCCAGAUACAAAUAGACUUCUGUUCAAUAUCAUUUGCUUGCACUAAUGUCUAAUUGUAUUAUCUAUUUAUCAAGUUAGUUCCCUUGCUGUUCCAUGGAAAGCAAAAGAAGCCGUUGCAGGAAUUACCCGACUUACUCAUGCUGCUGCCAAGUACUCGAGGACCCGGCUAAUGAAAUUUAUGGUGCUCAUGCUUUCACCCUUUGACACAACUUUCAAAUGAGAAGUGCAAGCGAUGUGGUUUCUACAAGGAAGACUCUUUGAUUAUGUCAGAUGACAUAUUUGAUGAGUGGAAAUUAAGUUAAUAGAAAUCAUAUUUUGCACAACUUUUUAUCAAUUGAUGGAAUUUGCUCAAGUUUGUAUUUUAUUA
This is a long non-coding RNA of Ziziphus jujuba (common jujube), 4266 nucleotides long. RefSeq lists it as uncharacterized. The transcript has 3 exons. The record is from RefSeq and is a predicted model, not a curated record. Lineage: Eukaryota; Viridiplantae; Streptophyta; Magnoliopsida; Rosales; Rhamnaceae.